UGGGGAAUUUUGGACAAUGGGGGAAACCCUGAUCCAGCCAUCCCGCGUGUGCGAUGAAGGCCUUCGGGUUGUAAAGCACUUUUGGCAGGAAAGAAACGUCGCGGGUUAAUACCCCGCGAAACUGACGGUACCUGCAGAAUAAGCACCGGCUAACUACGUGCCAGCAGCCGCGGUAAUACGUAGGGUGCAAGCGUUAAUCGGAAUUACUGGGCGUAAAGCGUGCGCAGGCGGUUCGGAAAGAAAGAUGUGAAAUCCCAGAGCUUAACUUUGGAACUGCAUUUUUAACUACCGGGCUAGAGUGUGUCAGAGGGAGGUGGAAUUCCGCGUGUAGCAGUGAAAUGCGUAGAUAUGCGGAGGAACACCGAUGGCGAAGGCAGCCUCCUGGGAUAACACUGACGCUCAUGCACGAAAGCGUGGGGAGCAAACAGGAUUAGAUACCCUGGUAGUCCACGCCCUAAACGAUGUCAACUAGCUGUUGGGGCCUUCGGGCCUUGGUAGCGCAGCUAACGCGUGAAGUUGACCGCCUGGGGAGUACGGUCGCAAGAUUAAAACUCAAAUGAAUUGACGGGGUCGAUANCU
Molecule: ribosomal RNA, 579 nt
Filed under: uncultured bacterium
Lineage: Bacteria
Description: partial 16S ribosomal RNA
Rfam family: Bacterial small subunit ribosomal RNA
Source: RNAcentral